AACGAACGCUGGCGGCAUGCCUAACACAUGCAAGUCGAACGAGACCUUCGGGUCUAGUGGCGCACGGGUGCGUAACGCGUGGGAACCUGCCCUUAGGUUCGGAAUAACUCCCCGAAAGGGGUGCUAAUACCGGAUAAUGUCUUCGGGCCAAAGAUUUAUCGCCUUUGGAUGGGCCCGCGUUGGAUUAGCUAGUUGGUAGGGUAAAAGCCUACCAAGGCGACGAUCCAUAGCUGGUCUGAGAGGAUGAUCAGCCACACUGGGACUGAGACACGGCCCAGACUCCUACGGGAGGCAGCAGUGGGGAAUAUUGGACAAUGGGCGAAAGCCUGAUCCAGCAAUGCCGCGUGAGUGAUGAAGGCCUUAGGGUUGUAAAGCUCUUUUACCCGGGAUGAUAAUGACAGUACCGGGAGAAUAAGCUCCGGCUAACUUCGUG
Molecule: ribosomal RNA, 433 nt
Filed under: uncultured bacterium
Lineage: Bacteria
Description: partial 16S ribosomal RNA
Rfam family: Bacterial small subunit ribosomal RNA
Source: RNAcentral